Pyrus x bretschneideri (Chinese white pear) is the source of this 523-nucleotide long non-coding RNA. RefSeq lists it as uncharacterized. The record is from RefSeq and is a predicted model, not a curated record. The transcript has 2 exons. Lineage: Eukaryota; Viridiplantae; Streptophyta; Magnoliopsida; Rosales; Rosaceae.
GCUCAUCUUCUUCUGUACAGCCUCACAACCUUCCUCCUCGUCCCCUUCGCAACCUUCCUCCUCGUCCUCUUCCGUGUAGCAGCUCUGCGAACUUGGUGGUCCUCAGGUAUCUCUCUCUCUCUCUCUCUCUCUCUCUCUCUCUCUCUCCUCUGUACGGAGGAUUUGCAUUUUGGGUUGCAGACCCGGUGCCUCGGGGCAGACGGUGGUAACUCCCUCCCCUCUCAAAAAUCUCUGAUCGAAGGUUUUAAAAUCUUCAACUUGGAUACAAGAUUUAAUAUAACAUGAGCACUCGGGGGGCCAGGGCGCCACAUGCAAGAGGGCGGCGAAGAAAGAAUGAGUUGAACUUGGACCUCAAUAGUGCCCCACCUGGUGACAGUCGGGAACAGGAGGGAACUUCAACUCAGUCAGUGCCUCAGAAUAAUCAAGCGACUUUGCAAGUUCAGCCCAUACCACCUAAUACGAUUGAUGUUGAGGCUAUUGAUGAUGAUGUUAUUGAAUCCAGCCCCACGGCUUUUGCUGAGGC